This is a long non-coding RNA of Cyanistes caeruleus (blue tit), 453 nucleotides long. RefSeq lists it as uncharacterized. The record is from RefSeq and is a predicted model, not a curated record. Lineage: Eukaryota; Metazoa; Chordata; Aves; Passeriformes; Paridae.
AAAGGGCCAGCAGAGCACAGCUUUGCUUCUCCUGUUACCCUGUGCAAAACAUCUCCUGGGAGCAUCAUUUCUGGUGACUCCAUCCUGUGGAGCAGCAGCAAAACAAGCACCUACGUGCCUGCCAGAAGGUGCAAGUCAGCCAGGACCAGGAAGAAAAAGGGGGUGAGGGGAUGUGUGUCUGUGAGAUGGAGACAAAAGUUUCAGUUGUUUCAAUCCCAGGAAGAGGAAGAAAAGAAAGUAUGCUGGAGGAAAUGAAGGAGAAAUGGAUAAGCACAACCUGAAAAAGCAUUUAAUUUUUUCAUCGCUACCUAAAAAGCAGAAAAUGGCUUUAAAGUAACUUUUAUGAUAUGGAAGUCAUUUAAAGUAAUUGUUUUUAAAAUUCCUACCAGGUCAAGCAAUUGUUUCUGUGUCUGUCAUGCAAGUGAAUGAGUAACAAUGAGAUGGUAAAAACUG